CCCGGUUUGCCGGGACGAAAUGUGGUCGGCCUGACCGACUGAAUCGCAAG
Halonotius sp. J07HN4 is the source of this 50-nucleotide regulatory RNA element. It matches the Rfam family "eL15-Euryarchaeota ribosomal protein leader". The record is from Rfam. Lineage: Archaea; Methanobacteriati; Methanobacteriota; Halobacteria; Halobacteriales; Haloferacaceae.